UACGAAGGGGGCGAGCGUUGUUCGGAUUUACUGGGCGUAAAGGGCGCGCAGGCGGCGCAUUUUGUCAGGCGUGAAAGCCCCGGGCUUAACCUGGGAACUGCGUUUGAUACGGAUGGGCUAGAGUUCGGGAGAGGAGAGUGGAAUUCCCAGUGUAGAGGUGAAAUUCGUAGAUAUUCGCAAGAACACCAGUGGCGAAGGCGGCUCACUGGCCCGGUACUGACGCUGAGGUGCGAAAGCGUAGGGAGCAAACAGG
Molecule: ribosomal RNA, 253 nt
Filed under: uncultured bacterium
Lineage: Bacteria
Description: partial 16S ribosomal RNA
Rfam family: Bacterial small subunit ribosomal RNA
Source: RNAcentral